Molecule: small nucleolar RNA, 205 nt
Organism: Pararge aegeria (speckled wood butterfly)
Lineage: Eukaryota; Metazoa; Arthropoda; Insecta; Lepidoptera; Nymphalidae
Product: small nucleolar RNA U3
Exons: 1
Source: RefSeq, a predicted model, not a curated record
UAGACCUUACUUCAUAGGAUCAUUUCUACAGUAAGCUCUUCACGAGAAACUCACACCACGUGAGACUCACACCAGUCACGAUGAGGAGACGUGGCGCGGUGUCCUGGGCGUGAGGUGGGCGAUGGUAAAAGCUAUCAGUCCUCGAUGAUCGUUCACUUCUCUCUUUCGAGAGAGUAGCGUGGGUCGCUGUCGCUGUCUGAGUGGC